Molecule: microRNA, 21 nt
Filed under: Populus trichocarpa (black cottonwood)
Lineage: Eukaryota; Viridiplantae; Streptophyta; Magnoliopsida; Malpighiales; Salicaceae
Description: ptc-miR159e
Gene: ptc-miR159e
Source: miRBase by way of RNAcentral
CUUGGGGUGAAGGGAGCUCCU